GCUCCCUCUGUAGAUAAAAACAUUCUACGGUAACACAAAUAUUUUCAGGUGAUUAUAUACUGAAAACAUACCUAUAAAUAUUAUCUGACAAGAGAUUCUCCUCAGUGUUACACACUGCACCCUGUAAAAGGGAUAAUGAUGUUGUGUUCGUCAUCUUACGUCUGUCGUGCUCCGAUAAGCUCGUGAUGUUGGGAAGGCGUGCAGUGAUACCAAAUAAAAAUCCAUAAUUCCCCUCAAAUGCACUAAAACUGAAAUAAGGAGCCACUUUUUAAAAUUUAAGGAGCAAAAAGAUAUGCAGAUAUUUAUGUAAAAGUAGAAAGUUGUCAGGAAAAUACUUUAUUUCUACUUUAUAUUUUUCCUGCUGUAUCCUGAUAUUGGUGAUUAUGGUAAUAAUGGUGAUAUUGGUGAUAAUGGUGAGCCUCGCUGUCAACGACUGUUACUGAAUGUGUAUUUUAAAUCAGUUUAUAACAGCUGAACAGACUCAACAUGCAGACUGAGAAGGAUUAUACGUUUGUUAUUUCACAGAAAUAAACCUAAACCACACAAACAUCCGUCGGUCUGUCGCUCACAAACACUCAACGGUGAUUCUUUCCCUGUAUGUCCUCAGAGACACUGAGAGCUCUUUUCCUCCUGCAGAGAAAACCCAAAGUGAGGAAGCGCCUAUGAGGAGGAAAGCCAAGCUUCCACUGUGGUCGACCUACUUUCACCAGGAGCCAACCUCCAUCGAGGGGAAAAAUGGCAAAAAAAAUAAAAAAAAAUGAAUUUGAAAACAUCAUUAAAUAAUUGGGUUUUGGAAUUGAGGAAGGGGAGCCGGAUAGGAUUCAUGUUGGCUGCUCCUGGUUAAUAUCUGAUUUUGGACGAUAUGGGACACAAACAACAGGAAAUCUGAGACUUUUAGGGACACAUCUUUAUAGAGACCUGCUCCAUCAACAUCCUGAUCAACACUCGAGGGAUGGACCAUGUUCGGAGCCGAAAGAGCACCAAGCAUCAUCGAUGUAAACAUAAACGCAGUCAAAGGGGAUGGACACUGUUUGUUUUUAGAACAGAGGCAAUCUCCACUACCAGAACACCUAAAGGUUCUAGAUGGUUCAAGCAAACAGGCAGUCAAUGCAAAUAGUUUAAAAUUGGUGUAACGUGUUCUCUUUCUGGUCCUCGUCAACACUCGUGCAGCUGAGUUUUGUAAUUGAGCUCUAUGAGUAAGUAGAGCAUUACAGUAAUAAAUACUGCAGGUUAAUAAUAAAGGUGUGCAUUAGUGUCUCUUUAUAGGCUUCAAAGAUAAACGGUUUAGAGAUAAAUGUUAAGAUUAUAAAAUGCAUUUUUAGUGAUGUUUCUAAUGUGAAGUUCAAUAUCCGGAUCAAAGAUAACUUAAAGGUCCAAGGGUUCAGUUUUGUCCUGACUGAGUAUUAGAAAGCUCUCUGCCAUCCAUCGCUUGAUAAAAUACAGUUUAAAAGGACAUUUAUUGCCUCUGAGUCAUCAGGAGAUGCAGCAAUGUAAAGCUGUGUGUCAUCAGCAUAGAAAUGUAUGCUGUGCCUCCUGCAAUGUUAUUAUAGUUAAUUAAAAUGUUGUUUCACACCUAGUUUUAGUUUAGUUUUAGGGAUCUGAAAUAAAAAUAAAUUCUAGACCUUAUUAAAAAAACAAAAACUAAAAUAAAAUAAAAUCUAAAUAAAAGGUCUUUAGAUUUUGUCAAUUUGGUCAAAUUUGUCAACACAACACGCACAAGGAGGUGUUUAUUAACACUGGGAGGUCUACAUGACCGUAAGUCAAUGUAUUUGUGUUGCAAUUCCCAUUCUGUAUUUCUUCAGUCUUGCCCCUGUCAAAUACUCCUAGUAUUGUAAUAAAAACACCUCAAACUAAUACUGAAACUAAUAAAAACAAAACUAGAAUUAAACAGUUUUAAACAACCGAAAAGAGCAAACACACUCUAGUAACUAAACUGACAAAAAUUUUAAACAAAAUGUAAAUUAAAACCUAACUGUAAUAACUCUGGCCUCCGGAUGACGUUUCCAAGUGGCAGCAUGUAAAGGUUAAAAAGAGUGGGACCUAAAACUAAACCUUGAGGAACACCACAUCAAUUGAAAGCAGAGAAAAGGAUGUAGUGAUCUACUGUAUCAAAGUGAAGCAGGAUUAAUACAGACAGUUGUUUUAUUUCCAUAUUGGACGGACAAACGGACUCACCAUCCUCAGACGAAAAGGGGCUAAAAAUAGCUUCACUAAACACACCAACCCCCACUUACCCUGCUCCCUGAGAGGCCGGGGGGGUUGCUGGGUAGACUUGGUGGCUAUAUUUGCACACACAGUAGAAGUAUAAAGAUAAAACCACGCAAUCGUUCCCAACACCUGACAGUGUAAACCCACUCCUCUAACUGUGUGUGAACGGCUUUUUCUGGAUACAUGAAGUUAUAUUUAAAACAAACAUCUGAACCCCGACCCAGUGUAACCUAAGACCGCCUUUACCCUUUACACACACACAUACAAACACACAUUUGUACUUGUGAGAACCCUCACUGACAUUUAAAACAUUUCUUAGCGGCUAACCUGAAGCUAAUUAUGACCUUAACCACCUUAACCCCAGAACCAAGUAUCUACCAGUGAGGACGGGGCAAAUUCUUUAUGCUUUCGAGAAUUGGCGUCACCUUUUUUCAUUUGGCAGAGAUGUCACCACAAAAAAAUGUUCCUCACUUUUUCAAAAUUUCCAAAGCCACAAAUGUUCUCAUUUUGCAAAAACGUUUUCUCAAUUUAAAAAUGUUCCCACUUUCCCAAAAAAUGUUUCUCAUCAGUUCUCAAAAAUAUACUUUCCUAAAAUAUCCAGAUUUGCCAAAAAAGUCCCCACUUUACAAAAAGGCCAUAUUGGCAGAAAUUUUCAAGAACAUCCUCAAUCAGAGACAUCCUCACUUUUCAAACUAUUCUUUGUUCUUAAAAUAUUGUCCUCACUUUUUGGAAAAGGUCCUUGUUUGCCAAAAGUUAUUAGUUUAAUGUUCCCACUUCUGGAAAAGGUUCCCAAAAAUUACGUUACGGUUAUGUUUUUCUUAAAAAUCCAAAAGUCGAAAACUUUAAAAAAGAAACAAUUAAAGUACCAACUGUAAAAAAAUUCCUAAUUUUCCAAACAUCCUCAUUUGCCAGAGAUUUCCCAACUUUUCAAACAUGUUUUCACUUCCUCAUUUCUUAAAAAAAAGCAAAAAAAAUUCCCCACUUUUGAAAAUGCCCACAAAACUUUCAGUUGGUUUAUUCACCAAAAAUGUUCUCUCCAUUAAAAAUGUUCUCUCAAUUAAAAAUGUUUCCAGUAA
This is a long non-coding RNA of Morone saxatilis (striped sea-bass), 3284 nucleotides long. RefSeq lists it as uncharacterized. NCBI's taxonomy places the organism in Eukaryota, Metazoa, Chordata, Actinopteri, Moronidae. The record is from RefSeq and is a predicted model, not a curated record. The transcript is spliced from 2 exons.